AUGCUCUCUUUGGCAGCACACAUACUAAAACUGGAACUCUACAGAGGUUAGCAUGACCCUUGUCAAAGAUGAUAUACAAAUUCACAAAACAUUCCAUAUUUCU
Small nuclear RNA from Microtus oregoni (creeping vole), 103 nucleotides. The record is from RefSeq and is a predicted model, not a curated record. NCBI's taxonomy places the organism in Eukaryota, Metazoa, Chordata, Mammalia, Rodentia, Cricetidae.